Molecule: long non-coding RNA, 391 nt
Organism: Myxocyprinus asiaticus (Chinese sucker)
Lineage: Eukaryota; Metazoa; Chordata; Actinopteri; Cypriniformes; Catostomidae
Exons: 2
Source: RefSeq, a predicted model, not a curated record
UGAUGUCACGCUUGGCAUGUUUUUGGGCAUUGUCUGUGCCUCACGAGAGCUUCUCGAGUCUAUCCGUGUUGAGUCUGGAUUCUGCUGCUGCAAGUUGAUGGCACACUUUAAAUGCCCAAAAUUGUCCGAGGUGAAGCAAAAUGCUAAGCAGAGAUACAUCUCGAUCCUAUCAGGAGAGGAAUGAAAUGGCAGAAGAGGUUGGAUGUGUUGGAUAAAUACAGUGGCAUAUCCAGGACAUUUUUACUGGGGUGGCCAAGAUGGGGCACAGACCUAGUGUGGGGUGGCGAUACCGGGAGAACCUUUAUAAAUGGCACAUGAUCAAAAUGUGUAAAUAUUGCAUUGCUUUGCUUCAGCAUCGUACACAUGUAGAAUAAAUGAAUUCUUAAACUCA